GCAGCUGUCAAAUUCAACUGCUGUUCAAAUCGUUCAAACAUUACUCAUCACAUUCUGCGGCGAUGUGGCGAGGGUGAUUAUACUGAUUGAGUUAAAUAGGCCUACAGCCGGCAUCCGGAUUCUGGUUCGAUUUCGCUGAAAGUUUGAUUUAUAUACCGGCCGGGGCAGCACAUCGCGGGAGCGUAAACAAGUUAUUAAAAUAAUCGAUUAGCGGUUACACAAUCUGCCGUCAAUCGGCUGGCUGGCGAUUGGAACGACGGGGAUGCCACACGGUAGGGUGGUUCCGUUCGAUUAUUUCACUCGGCUCGGGGCUCGGGGCAACACCGGGAAGCACUAGGGACUAGAGACAGCAGGAGGCCGUAAAUUUUCGGCAUUGAACGGAUUGUGGAUGCCGGAGAUGACUGCCCUGGGAGUGAAAACUGUGGAACGCAUUUGUAAUUCAUAUGGCGAAAGCUCAUAUCACACAGUUCGAUGAGGAAAAUCGGCACCACAACAUAAAUAAUUUCCCAGCCAAAGGAUUGUUACAAAUCAAACGUGUAUAUUUUUCUUUUUGCUUUCGAUAGUCUACAAUGUGAUGUGAUUUUGGAAAGCCAGCAGGCCACCAAUUUCUUCGUUGUUUAUAAUCUAAAUCAACCGACAUGUAACAAUAAACAGUUAGCACGAAUAUCGUGCGUGUCUCUCACUCGUUGAAUGUGCAACUCGUUGCUUUAGAUAUAACAACACCGUGAAGCGGUUUUGCAAUAACAAGUGGCAGUAGGCCUGGAAUCGGGUUGGCACGGUAACACACUAAUGGCGAUAUCAAAGCAUGGCCUUCUAAUAUUCUGCGCUAACAAGUUUCAAAUGCCAAACAAAAGAACGGAAACCGAGCGGGUAUUUAAUGAAUUCGC
Long non-coding RNA from Malaya genurostris, 887 nucleotides. RefSeq lists it as uncharacterized. NCBI's taxonomy places the organism in Eukaryota, Metazoa, Arthropoda, Insecta, Diptera, Culicidae. The transcript is spliced from 3 exons. The record is from RefSeq and is a predicted model, not a curated record.